AUGCACAGAGACAGACAGAGACGGGGAGAUAGAGAGGCUGAGAGAGACAGAGACAGCCCGCCCCGGCCUUCCGGACCGCAGACACCCCUUUUCCCCUUUGCGCGUGGGCCGGACGGGCCAGCAGGGCCAGCAGGGCCAGCAGCAGGACCAGCAGGGCCAGCACGACCAACAGGACCAGCAGCUGGACCAGCAGGGCCAGCAGGGCCAGCAGCAGGGCCAGCACGACCAACAGGACCAGCAGCUGGACCAGCAGGGCCAGCAGGGCCAGCAGCAGGACCAGCAGGGCCAGCAGCAGGACCAGGAGGGCCAGCAGGGCCAGCAGCAGGACCAACAGGGCCAGCACGACCAACAGGGCCAGCAGCAGGUCCAGCCGGACUAGGAGGGCCAGUAGGGCUAGCAGCAGGACCAACAGGGCCAGCAGCAGGACCAGCCAGACCAGGAGGGCCAGCAGCAGGGCCAGCACGACCAACAGGGCCAGCAGCAGGACCAGCUGGACCAGGAGGGCCAGCAGGGCCAGCAGCAGGACCAGCAGGGCCAGCAGCAGGGCCAGCAGCAGGACCAACAGGGCCAGCACGACCAACAGGGCCAGCAGCAGGUCCAGCCGGACCAGGAGGGCCAGCAGCAGGACCAGCAGGGCCAGCAGCAGGACCAGCAGAGCCAGCAGCAGGACCAGCCGGACCAGGAGGGCCAGCAGGGCCAGCAGCAGGACCAACAGGGCCAGCACGAUCAACAAGGCCAGCAGCAGGCCCAGGAGGGCCAGCAGGACCAACAGGGCCAGCAGCAGGACCAGCAGCAGGACCAGCAGGGCUAGGUGCAGUGGGGCUAGCAGCAGGACCAGGAGGGCCAGCAGCAGGACCAGGAGGGCCAGCAGCAAGGACCAGCGGGGCUAGCAGCAGCAGGGCCAGCCGGAUCAGGAGGGCCAGCAGCCAGACCAACAGGGCCAGCAGUAGGACCAAGAGGGCCAGCAGGAGGGCCAGCAGCAGGACCAGGAGGACCAGCAGGGCCAGCAGCAAGGACCAGCAGGGCUAG
This 1029-nucleotide long non-coding RNA is filed under the name Ornithorhynchus anatinus (platypus). RNAcentral describes it as "lncRNA (ENSOANG00000047663.1)". The record is from RNAcentral. Lineage: Eukaryota; Metazoa; Chordata; Mammalia; Monotremata; Ornithorhynchidae.